This 497-nucleotide ribosomal RNA is filed under the name uncultured bacterium. Its description in RNAcentral is "partial 16S ribosomal RNA". It matches the Rfam family "Bacterial small subunit ribosomal RNA", at positions 28 to 507 of the family's 1533-position model. The record is from RNAcentral.
GAUGAACGCUGGCGGCGUGCCUAAUACAUGCAAGUCGAGCGAACGGACGAGAAGCUUGCUUCUCUGAUGUUAGCGGCGGACGGGUGAGUAACACGUGGAUAACCUACCUAUAAGACUGGGAUAACUUCGGGAAACCGGAGCUAAUACCGGAUAAUAUUUUGAACCGCAUGGUUCAAAAGUGAAAGACGGUCUUGCUGUCACUUAUAGAUGGAUCCGCGCUGCAUUAGCUAGUUGGUAAGGUAACGGCUUACCAAGGCAACGAUGCAUAGCCGACCUGAGAGGGGGAUCGGCCACACGGGAACUGGGACACGGUCCAGACGCCUAAGGGAGGCAGCAGUAGGGAAUCUUCCGCAAUGGGCGAAAGCCUGACGGAGCAGCGCCGCGUGAGUGAUAAAGGUCUUCGGAUCGUAAAACUCUGUUAUUAGGGAAGAACAUAUGUGUAAGUAACUGUGCACAUCUUGACGGUACCGAAUCAGAAAGCCACGGCUAACUACGUG